AACAAGCAGCAGAGCUGCCCAGCAGCGACCACAUUAGGAAGGAAUCGGAAACCAACGCUCCGCUGGCUGUCACCCCUUACCCACUUGCUGUCAGACCACAGCCUGAGGCAGCCAAACCCAUUUCCUUGGGGAUCCAGCGCAAACCAGAGAGUGUGGACAGGCCGAUGGAAGAAUGUUGGACCAGCUUUAAGAAUGGGCUGUUCUAAGUCAUGAAUAUUGUAGGAAGCAGCUCUAAGGACCACAGGGCUGGAGGGUGCACAGGAAGGGUCCAGUGCAUACAGGUGUCCAAACAGUGUCAUCCGGUGUCCUGACAUGGGGCCCCAAUGGACUGACCCAGGGUGGAAAGAAAGAGUGAGAAGAAAUCAGACGGAAGAAUUUAGGAGAUGUGGCAACAGAGUGGAUGUAGCAGAAGGGACACAGAGAGUGCCUAAAGAUGACUCUUUGGUCAGCAUGUGAUGAAAAGAAUGAAGACAUUGGGGAAGUGGGGAGCAGAAGCGGAUGUGGGCCCAGGAGGGAAACGGUAGAUUUGGACUGGGGCAUGCUGACGUCAGCAGCAACAUCGAAGUCCUGAGCACCCUCAUAUUGUUGCAGAUUCCAGACAGCAGAGAUGGCAAAAAGAUGCAUGGAAGAGAGACACAGCAGGGUCAGGUUCUGGCCUCAGGAGCCAAGGGGGAAGUGCCUGAGAAGGAGACCCCCAAAUGAGGCCUGUGUCAAUGAGGUCUUUAGGGGACUGGUUUCCAUGUAUGCCAGGCCAUACUCCCUGGAUUCCCAGCAUUGAGAAGACCAAACACUUCUACACAUUUAUUACUGAAGCCCCCUGUAAGCUGAAGGUGGAGGAAGUAGCCAAUCUCCUAAGCCGUGUGUGGCUGAGGCAGUUGUCAGAGCGGUGACGAGGGAAAUGCUCAUUAUUCUUCUAUCCCUCACUUGGCCAAAUAAAGAACUUCUUAGAAUUCUUCCCCUGUGACAAAACGGGGCUGUAAUUCGGAAAGCCUCAGGCAAGUUUGCCAGGGCCGCGGUAACCAAGCACCACAGACUAGGUGGCUUCAAGACUGGACGGCUUCAACAGAAAGUUAUUUUUGCUCAAUUCUGGAAGCCGGAAGUCCAAAAUCAAGGUACUUGCAGGGUUAGUUUGAUCUGAGGGCUGCGAGGGAAGGACCUGUUGUAGACCUCUCUCCUAGGUUUGCAGGCCUUGGUCCUGAUGUUCACAGGGCAUCCUUCCUGUGCCUUCACAUCAUCUUCUCUCUGAAUGUAUCUCUGGGUCCAAAUUUCCCUAUUUUAAAAUAAGGAAAUCAGUCCUAUUGGGUUAGCUCCCCGCCCCUCACUUUAACUUGAUUACCUCUGUAAAGACCCUACCUCCAAAUAAGAUCACAUUCUGAGUACUGAGGGCUAGGACCUCAGUAUCUGAAUUCAGGGUGGGUGGAUGCACAAUUCAUUCCAUAACGUUAAGAAGGAAGGGAUAAGUGCCCAAGGAAUCACAUGCUCGCUCAGGGAGAGUUCCAAGCGUGCAGAGCUGGUGGUCAUAGCCUAGCCUCAGGCCUUUGGAAAUCCCCUAAAUCUGGUUUUCCCAGUUCUCAUAAUCUCAUUUCACCAAAAUACGGCAUCUCAAUACAUUCCAUGCAUUUCUGGUGACAAGCUCAUUCUGGUGCACGCUAAGCAAUGUGCUAACUACGUCUUAACUGGGUGGUUAGGGUGGUUUAACUGGUUUGGUUAACAUAGAUCUCUGAGGCAUUUCACCCAUUCCUUAAGCCUAAACAAAUCUCAUCCAGGUGUUUAAGACAUUGCAUAAUAUUAGACCAUUUGAAGCUUCAUCUCCUUGGGGCAAUGAUGAUGAUGGUGAUGAAAGUGGCUGGUGACUGUUCUCAGUUUCAUCGCCAUAACGCAACCCUAUGUUGUGUUCCUCCACACUGGUGUGAGGGACACUACUGAGUGAGGCAGAGUUUGCACUCAGGAUAGAGAAAUAUAGACUCAUGCACAGAUUCCAGCUGAGUCCCUCCGAUGUGCUAGGUACUAUGUCCAGCCCCCCAGGAUUCACCUGUAAGCAGGACAGUCUUUUGGAUGACAGAGGGAAUUCUCAUAUAUCCACAGGCAGAUGGAAUUUACAAGUGAAAAGACCUAGAAGCUCAGAGACAGGGGGACUGAACUUUUUGCUUUCAGUCAGAAUCUUUGCUUACGGUUGUGCAAAUGCUUGCAUUGGUGGGUAUCCAUGCCAUAUAACGUGCUACCUAUUUUUACAUUACCCUUGCACAUAAGCAUACUAUUGGGAGGGAAAAUGAAGAGGGUGGAGGUGGUAACAAACUCAAGCUAAGGAAAUGGGAUUUGGAUGGGUACAAAGUCCACAGAAUUAGCUUGAGGAAAAUGAACCAGGAUUCACACAGGAGUUUUCAAACAUCUCAAUAUCAGGACCCCUUUACCCUCUUAAAACUUACUUCAUGAGGACCUUAAAGAGCUUUUGUUUGUGUGACUUAGAUGUAUUAAUAUUUACUACAUUAGAAAUUAAAAGUAAGAAAUGGUUGU
This 2514-nucleotide non-coding RNA is filed under the name Pongo abelii (Sumatran orangutan). Lineage: Eukaryota; Metazoa; Chordata; Mammalia; Primates; Hominidae. The record is from RNAcentral.